Long non-coding RNA from Sebastes umbrosus (honeycomb rockfish), 427 nucleotides. RefSeq lists it as uncharacterized. The transcript has 3 exons. Lineage: Eukaryota; Metazoa; Chordata; Actinopteri; Perciformes; Sebastidae. The record is from RefSeq and is a predicted model, not a curated record.
UUGUCAGCAGUUGUCAAACUUCCUCUUCAGCAGCCUCAUAUAGAAACUAAAUGACCACACAGUGCUGCUGCGUCUUCACUAGAUGAUUACUGGAGCCUCUGAGUAUCCAUCAUCACCACCUUGUUGUGUUUUGUUCCCUGUGAUCCGGAUAUUCAGUGACCAGAGAUGCAGGUUCCUGUUCUGAUCUUAUACACUCUGGAUGAACUCGAUGCUGCUGAGUUCAAGAGGUUUCUGUGGAGCCUGACUCAGCCGGUGCUGGACGGAUGUCAGCCCAUUCGUAAGGGCUUUCUGGAGAGUGCAGACCGGCAGGACACCGUCAAUAAGAUGAUCGAGAGCUACGGUGAAGAGUCGGCUGUGAACGUGACUGUUGAAAUCCUGAGGAUGAUGAACCACAACAACACUGCAGAGAAGUUGAAGAAAACAUAUG